GUGGGGAAUAUUGGACAAUGGGCGAAAGCCUGAUCCAGCCAUGCCGCGUGUGUGAAGAAGGUCUUCGGAUUGUAAAGCACUUUAAGUUGGGAGGAAGGGCAGUAAGUUAAUACCUUGCUGUUUUGACGUUACCGACAGAAUAAGCACCGGCUAACUUCGUGCCAGCAGCCGCGGUAAUACGAAGGGUGCAAGCGUUAAUCGGAAUUACUGGUCGUAAAGCGCGCGUAGGUGGUUUUGUAAGUUGGAGGUGAAAUCCCCGGGCUCAACCUGGGAACUGCCUCCAAAACUGCAUGACUAGAGUACGGUAGAGGGUAGUGGAAUUUCCUGUGUAGCGGUGAAAUGCGUAGAUAUAGGAAGGAACACCAGUGGCGAAGGCGACUACCUGGACUGAUACUGACACUGAGGUGCGAAAGCGUGGGGAGCAAACAGGAUUAGAAACCCUAGUAGUCC
Molecule: ribosomal RNA, 450 nt
Filed under: uncultured bacterium
Lineage: Bacteria
Description: partial 16S ribosomal RNA
Rfam family: Bacterial small subunit ribosomal RNA
Source: RNAcentral